Molecule: long non-coding RNA, 274 nt
Organism: Labrus mixtus (cuckoo wrasse)
Lineage: Eukaryota; Metazoa; Chordata; Actinopteri; Labriformes; Labridae
Exons: 3
Source: RefSeq, a predicted model, not a curated record
UGAUCGACUUUUGAAGGUUCCUGUAUGACAGCAAGAUUUAUUUAAGGUUUUGGCUUCUUCUAUGGAUCAGUGUUUGAAGACUGAGGAGAGAGCCCCUCCCUCCAAAACCAGUCUGUGUGAGGAACCUGAUGCUCAGAGCCCAGAGCAGAGACCGGACUCUUCUGGACCUGUACCCAGCUGUGUCUCCAUAAAGUGUGGCAAGUCUAUUAUUGAACCUUAUGACUUCAAGGAUGAACACCACUCGACUGAAAACAGGUAAUAAUAAUACAUUAUU